GCGAGAGGUUUAAAUCUGCUGCAUGUGUGCUUAGAAAAUGUAUAAUUUGCAGGUACUUAUAAGUCUUGUGGUGAUAGGUCAUGUGAUUCACAUAGGUAGCAUAGAAUGGUUACCAUGUAAACGUCUCAGAAAGUUUGAAUUCCCUUGGUUUCCCAGAGUAGUGCUAACAAGCUUUCAAUUCAAUGCUCUAGAUAGGAAAUG
Non-coding RNA from Pelobates cultripes (western spadefoot toad), 201 nucleotides. Lineage: Eukaryota; Metazoa; Chordata; Amphibia; Anura; Pelobatidae. The record is from the annotation of a GenBank genome assembly.